This 206-nucleotide ribosomal RNA is filed under the name uncultured bacterium. RNAcentral describes it as "partial 16S ribosomal RNA". It matches the Rfam family "Bacterial small subunit ribosomal RNA", at positions 568 to 774 of the family's 1533-position model. The record is from RNAcentral.
CGCGUAGGCGGCCGGUCACGUCGGGUGUGAAAGCUCAGGGCUCAACCCUGAGACGCCAUUCGAUACGGAUCGGCUAGAGGCAGGUAGGGGAAAGUGGAAUUCCUGGUGUAGCGGUGAAAUGCGCAGAUAUCAGGAGGAACACCGGUGGCGAAGGCGGCUUUCUGGGUCUGUCCUGACGCUGAGGCGCGAAAGCUGGGGAGCGAACA